This 17-nucleotide microRNA is filed under the name Corchorus capsularis. RNAcentral describes it as "sRNA CCACVL1_20081". Lineage: Eukaryota; Viridiplantae; Streptophyta; Magnoliopsida; Malvales; Malvaceae. The record is from RNAcentral.
AUAAACACACACACUCU